RNAcentral lists this ribosomal RNA (317 nucleotides) under Brachylaima apoplania. RNAcentral describes it as "SSU rRNA". The stretch from base 84 to 317 matches the Rfam family "Eukaryotic small subunit ribosomal RNA", at positions 633 to 867 of the family's 1831-position model. Lineage: Eukaryota; Metazoa; Platyhelminthes; Trematoda; Diplostomida; Brachylaimidae. The record is from RNAcentral.
UCUGGGUCGUGUGGCCACAUGCCGUUGCUCGUCCUACUGCCUAGGCUACGGUCAAGGCGGGAGUGCGGAUCGGUGUAGUGGCCGUCAACCUUUCAGUCGUGUCUGUGUAAACAGGUGUUAGCUAGGUCAAUAGACUUGUUCAAUUGGCCUGCUAGCAUGCUUCCGGAUGCCUUUAAUCGGGUGUCGGGGGCAGACGACACUUUUACUUUGAACAAAUUUGAGUGCUCAAAGCAGGCUUGUAUGCCUGAAAAUUCUUGCAUGGAAUAAUGGAAUAGGACUUCGGUUCUAUUUUGUUGGUUUUCGGAUCCGAAGAAUGG